UAGUGUAUUUUAACACACACUUGAAAUGUACGAGCAGUCAUUUUUAUCAUCCAACUGUCGCAGAACGGCAGCGUUAUUAGCCGACCGUUCACUGAAGAAUAUAACUACAGUCAACGGCUGUCCAUCGAAGGCCCUAGCCGCUUGAAUCUGGAUUGGCAGGAAAGAUAAACUAGCCGGAUUCCUCAGUCUGGAAACAACCGCGCAGUAGAGUGGACGGAUGAAAAUCGCGCUCUGCAGAUUUCGAGUGCCGGGUUCUCAGCCUCUUGGAUCCUGCGCUCCGGGUCCGCUUUCUGGUGCAACUCGAGUUCCGGGACAAGCGCUCCGUAGCUUCUGAGCUCCAGGUCCGCUACCUCGUGAAACUCGACUUCCGGGACAAGUGCUACGUAGUUUCUGCGCUUCGGGUCCGCUACCUAACGAAACUCGACUUCAGGGACAUGUGGUGAAUAAGGAGGAAGAGGACAAGGAUUUCUGCUCAGUAUAACCUGAGGUGGUUGAAGGUGGUCGGAGGUGGACG
Neodiprion fabricii is the source of this 514-nucleotide long non-coding RNA. RefSeq lists it as uncharacterized. The transcript is spliced from 3 exons. Lineage: Eukaryota; Metazoa; Arthropoda; Insecta; Hymenoptera; Diprionidae. The record is from RefSeq and is a predicted model, not a curated record.